UAUCGCCUACGGGACGCAGAAGUAGGGAAUUUUUGUCAAUGGGCGCAAGCCUGAACGACCAAUGCCGCGUGAACGAGGAAGGUCUUCGGAUCGUAAAGUUCUGUUGAAGGGGAAAAAGAGCGGAGAGAGGAAAUGGUCUCCGAUUGAUAUUACCCUUCGAGGAAGUCACGGCUAACUACGUGCCAGCAGCCGCGGUAAUACGUAGGUGGCGAGCGUUAUCCGGAAUGAUUGGGCGAAAAGGGUGCGUAGGCGGCCUGCUAAGUCUGGAGUGAAAGGUACGGGCUCAACCGGUACAGGC
RNAcentral lists this ribosomal RNA (298 nucleotides) under uncultured bacterium. Its description in RNAcentral is "partial 16S ribosomal RNA". It matches the Rfam family "Bacterial small subunit ribosomal RNA", at positions 333 to 624 of the family's 1533-position model. The record is from RNAcentral.